UACGUAGGGGGCAAGCGUUGUCCGGAAUUAUUGGGCGUAAAGCGUCCGCAGGUGGCACCUCAAGUCUGCUGUCAAAGACCGGGGCUUAACCCCAGAAAGGCAGUGGAAACUGAAGUGCUAGAGUGCAGUAGGGGUAGAGGGAAUUCCCGGUGUAGCGGUGAAAUGCGUAGAGAUCGGGAAGAACAUCGGUGGCGAAGGCGCUCUGCUAGGCCGCAACUGACACUGAGGGACGAAAGCUAGGGGAGCGAAUGGG
Molecule: ribosomal RNA, 253 nt
Filed under: uncultured bacterium
Lineage: Bacteria
Description: partial 16S ribosomal RNA
Rfam family: Bacterial small subunit ribosomal RNA
Source: RNAcentral